AGUGAACGCUGGCGGUAGGCUUAACACAUGCGAGUCGAACGGCAGCACAGUAAGAGGUUGCGCUUACGGGUGGCGAGGGGCGGGUGGGACAGGAAUACAUCGGAAGCUGCGUGGUCGUGGGGGGUAACGGAGGGAAACUUACGGUAAUAGCGCAUACGACCUACGGGUGAAAGCAGGGGAUCUUCGGACCUUGCGCCGUUCGAUGAGCCGAUGUCGGAUUAGCUAGUUGGGGGGGUAAAGGCCCACCAAGGCGACGAUCCGUAGCUGGUCUGAGAGGAGGAGCAGUGAGACUAGUGCUGGAACACGGCCCAGGCUCCUACGGGACGCAGCAGUGGGGUAUGUUGGACAAUGGGCGAAAGCUUGAUCCAGCAAUGCCGCGUGAGUGAUGAAGGCCUUCGGGUUGUAAAGCACUUAUGGCGGGAACGAAAAGGAGUGUGCCAAUACCACGGUUCGAUGACGUUACCCGCAGAAUAAGCACCGGCUAACUACGUG
This 492-nucleotide ribosomal RNA is filed under the name uncultured bacterium. RNAcentral describes it as "partial 16S ribosomal RNA". It matches the Rfam family "Bacterial small subunit ribosomal RNA", at positions 30 to 507 of the family's 1533-position model. The record is from RNAcentral.